Molecule: ribosomal RNA, 208 nt
Filed under: uncultured eukaryote
Lineage: Eukaryota
Description: partial 18S ribosomal RNA
Rfam family: Eukaryotic small subunit ribosomal RNA
Source: RNAcentral
UGGUGGAGUGAUUUGUCUGGUUGAUUCCGUUAACGAGCGAGACCUUAACCCUUAAAUAGUCACGCGAAUCACCUGCUUGGGUGAAGCUGGUGCGGCAGUCAGGCUUAACCGCCGGGCUCCUUGCUGGUGGAUCCCUUGGUGCUAUUCGUGGAUGAACUUCUUAUGGGGACUCCUGGCAUCCAGUCAGGGGAAGUUUGAGGCAAUAACA